Macaca fascicularis (crab-eating macaque) is the source of this 1676-nucleotide long non-coding RNA. The record is from Ensembl. Lineage: Eukaryota; Metazoa; Chordata; Mammalia; Primates; Cercopithecidae.
GGGGGAGAGGGAAGAACUGGAGAGGGUGGUGUGAGAAAGCAGCUGCCUCUGGGCAGGGCUCCAGAAAGGGAGCCAGACAAGUGACUAGGGGGUUCCAGGCAAGGUCCAGGCAUGGGAGUCCUGACAACAGACUUAGUGCAUUUGUGAAAUCCUGCAAAGGCCGGGCAGACACCUGAGUUUAUAGUACUGGCUAGUAUUAAUAACGGCCUCACCCAGAGUGGUAGAUUUUUCUCCUUUGUUUUUCAAAUUUUAUAGAAAAGUACUUAUUUUUCAGACUGGGACUCACCCUGUCACCCAGGCUGGAGUGCAGUGGCAUGAUCUUGGCUCACUGCAGCCUCGAACUCCUGGGCUCAAGCGAUCCUCUCACCUCAGUCUCCCAAGUAACUGGGACAAGGUGCCACCACGCCUGGCUCAUUUUGUGUGUGUGUGUGUGUGUGUGUGUGUGUAGGUGUAGGUGUAGGUGGAAACUUUGUUGUCUAGGCUGGUCUCAAACUCCUGAGUUCAAGUAAUCCUAUUGUCUUGUGUAUUAGUCUAAUCUCACACUGCUAUGAAGAAAUAUCCAAGACUGGGUAAUUUAUAAUGAAUGAGCUAAAAAGUAAAGAGGUUUAAUUGACUCACAGUUCUGCAUGGCUGGGGAGGCCUCAGGAAACUUACAAUCAUGGUGGAAGGCACCUCUCCACAGGGUGGUAUGGAAGAGAAUGACAAGUGAAGGGGGAAGCCCCUUAUAAAACCGUCAGAUCUCGUGAGAACAUACUCACUGUCAUGAGAAUAACAUGGGGGAACCGCCCUCAUGAUUCAAUUACCUCCUACCAGGUCCCUCCCACAACAUGUGGGGAUUAUGGGAACUACAAUUCAAGAUGAGAUUUGGGUGGGGACGAGGCCAAACCAUAUCACCUUGGCCUUCCAAAGUGCUGGGAUUAAAGGUGUGAGCCACUGCGUCCAGCCAUAGAAACUUACGAUAAGUCAUGUUUCUUGUUUGAGAAAUAGCUACCAUGAACGCUAUUAUUAUUAAAGCUAUAUAUUAUUAGAAAGCAGACAUCUCACUGUAUCUGCUGAUUUUAAAUGCAUUGAUCAUCUGAUACAAAGUACGGUAAGCUUGGAAACAAGUAAUUUAACAGCGGUAGAUGAUGCAGGUCGUAGUGGGCCGCUUAUGCAUGACUGUUGGAUGGCAGGCUCCCUAGAUUGGGCUGAGGAGAUCCGAGGUCUCACCUCUGCCAAUGACUUGCUGUGUGCGCUUGGCCAGGUGACUCAUGGCACCUGGACGGAGGGAGUGGCAAGUGGCAUGGUGAUCACAGGGACGUGGUAUGUGAUUGAGGGAGAGGGCCGGCUGGCCUGACUGGAAGAGAAGACAGUUUCUUUCAUACCGAGGAGUAUGGACACUUACCAGGAGGCUUGCCUAAGGUAGGAGAAGAUCUUCCACCCUGCCCCAGGAGUGGGGAGUCUUUCAUCUUUUUGGGGGGCAUUUCUAUCCUCCCAGCCCCUCCAGCUGUUCUGGAAGCACCAGCUUUGUGCUUACAGCUACCACCGAGAAUCCAUCCCAAACUAGGAGAAGCAAAGACUGAUCCUGGACCGUCUCCCCGCUGUCGCCGGCUAGCCCACUCCAGCAUUGCCCGUCCUGCAGGCCCGUGCUUCGCACUACAGGAGAUUAUAUGCACAGAAACAGGAGGCACACAGCC